Molecule: ribosomal RNA, 1343 nt
Filed under: uncultured bacterium
Lineage: Bacteria
Description: 16S ribosomal RNA
Rfam family: Bacterial small subunit ribosomal RNA
Source: RNAcentral
GACGAACGCUGGCGGCGUGCUUAACACAUGCAAGUCGAACGGAAAGGCCCUGCUUUUGUGGGGUGCUCGAGUGGCGAACGGGUGAGUAACACGUGAGUAACCUGCCCUUGACUUUGGGAUAACUUCAGGAAACUGGGGCUAAUACCGGAUAGGAGCUCCUGCUGCAUGGUGGGGGUUGGAAAGUUUCGGCGGUUGGGGAUGGACUCGCGGCUUAUCAGCUUGUUGGUGGGGUAGUGGCUUACCAAGGCUUUGACGGGUAGCCGGCCUGAGAGGGUGACCGGCCACAUUGGGACUGAGAUACGGCCCAGACUCCUACGGGAGGCAGCAGUGGGGAAUAUUGCACAAUGGGCGGAAGCCUGAUGCAGCAACGCCGCGUGCGGGAUGACGGCCUUCGGGUUGUAAACCGCUUUCGCCUGUGACGAGGCGUGAGUGACGGUAAUGGGUAAAGAAGCACCGGCUAACUACGUGCCAGCAGCCGCGGUGAUACGUAGGGUGCGAGCGUUGUCCGGAUUUAUUGGGCGUAAAGGGCUCGUAGGUGGUUGAUCGCGUCGGAAGUGUAAUCUUGGGGCUUAACCCUGAGCGUGCUUUCGAUACGGGUUGACUUGAGGAAGGUAGGGGAGAAUGGAAUUCCUGGUGGAGCGGUGGAAUGCGCAGAUAUCAGGAGGAACACCAGUGGCGAAGGCGGUUCUCUGGGCCUUUCCUGACGCUGAGGAGCGAAAGCGUGGGGAGCGAACAGGCUUAGAUACCCUGGUAGUCCACGCUGUAAACGGUGGGUACUAGGUGUGGGGUCCAUUCCACGGGUUCCGUGCCGUAGCUAACGCUUUAAGUACCCCGCCUGGGGAGUACGGCCGCAAGGCUAAAACUCAAAGGAAUUGACGGGGCCCCGCACAAGCGGCGGAGCAUGCGGAUUAAUUCGAUGCAACGCGUAGAACCUUACCUGGGUUUGACAUGGAUCGGGAGUGCUCAGAGAUGGGUGUGCCUCUUUUGGGGUCGGUUCACAGGUGGUGCAUGGCUGUCGUCAGCUCGUGUCGUGAGAUGUUGGGUUAAGUCCCGCAACGAGCGCAACCCUUGUUCACUGUUGCCAGCACGUUAUGGUGGGGACUCAGUGGAGACCGCCGGGGUCAACUCGGAGGAAGGUGGGGAUGACGUCAAGUCAUCAUGCCCCUUAUGUCCAGGGCUUCACGCAUGCUACAAUGGCUGGUACAGAGAGUGGCGAGCCUGUGAGGGUGAGCGAAUCUCGGAAAGCCGGUCUCGGUUCGGAUUGGGGUCUGCAACUCGACCUCAUGAAGUCGGAGUCGCUAGUAAUCGCAGAUCAGCAACGCUGCGGUGAAUACGUUCCCGGG